Molecule: ribosomal RNA, 496 nt
Filed under: uncultured bacterium
Lineage: Bacteria
Description: partial 16S ribosomal RNA
Rfam family: Bacterial small subunit ribosomal RNA
Source: RNAcentral
GAUGAACGCUGGCGGCGUGCCUAAUACAUGCAAGUCGAGCGAACAGAUGAGGAGCUUGCUCCUCUGACGUUAGCGGCGGACGGGUGAGUAACACGUGGAUAACCUACCUAUAAGACUGGGAUAACUUCGGGAAACCGGAGCUAAUACCGGAUAAUAUAUUGAACCGCAUGGUUCAAUAGUGAAAGACGGUUUUGCUGUCACUUAUAGAUGGAUCCGCGCCGCAUUAGCUAGUUGGUAAGGUAACGGCUUACCAAGGCAACGAUGCGUAGCCGACCUGAGAGGGUGAUCGGCCACACUGGAACUGAGACACGGUCCAGACUACUACGGGAGGCAGCAGUAGGAAUCGUCCGCAAUGGGCGAAAGCCUGACGGAGCAACGCCGCGUGAGUGAUGAAGGUCUUCGGAUCGUAAAACUCUGUUAUUAGGGAAGAACAAAUGUGUAAGUAACUAUGCACGUCUUGACGGUACCUAAUCAGAAAGCCACGGCUAACUACGUG